Pelobates cultripes (western spadefoot toad) is the source of this 239-nucleotide non-coding RNA. The record is from the annotation of a GenBank genome assembly. Lineage: Eukaryota; Metazoa; Chordata; Amphibia; Anura; Pelobatidae.
GUGAGAGCAAUGGCAGGGUGGAGACUUGCGCCUGAGGAUACAUAGGACUUGGAAAGGUAGUACUCCAUUUUACGAUCCAUCGGGUCCCUGAAGGAACCAGCAUCGUCCACAGGUAGGGUAGUAUGUUUGGCUAACCUGACAACUGCAGCAUCAACCUUGGGUGCAAAAUCCCAUGCUUCAGCAUCUUUGGGCUUGAAUGGGUAUAACCUGGAAAAUUUCCCUUUGGCAGAUGAUCUCCU